GAUGAACGCUGGCGGCGUGCCUAAUACAUGCAAGUCGAGCGAACGGACGAGAAGCUUGCUUCUCUGAUGUUAGCGGCGGACGGGUGAGUAACACGUGGAUAACCUACCUAUAAGACUGGGAUAACUUCGGGAAACCGGAGCUAAUACCGGAUAAUAUUUUGAACAGCAUGGUUCAAAAGUGAAAGACGGUCUUGCUGUCACUUAUAGAUGGAUCCGCGCUGCAUUAGCUAGUUGGUAAGGUAACGGCUUACCAAGGCAACGAUGUAUAGCCGACCUGAGAGGAUGAUCGGCCACACUGGAACUGAGACACGGUCCAGACUCCUACGGGAGGCAGCAGUGGGGAAUCUUGCGCAAUGGGCGAAAGCCUGACGGAGCAACGCCGCGUGAGGGAUGAAGGUCUUCGGAUCGUAAAAUGCUGUUAUUAGGGAAGAACAUAUUUGUAAGUAACCGGGCACAUCUUGACGGUACCUUAUCAGAAAGCCACGGCUAACUACGUG
Molecule: ribosomal RNA, 497 nt
Filed under: uncultured bacterium
Lineage: Bacteria
Description: partial 16S ribosomal RNA
Rfam family: Bacterial small subunit ribosomal RNA
Source: RNAcentral